Molecule: ribosomal RNA, 253 nt
Filed under: uncultured bacterium
Lineage: Bacteria
Description: partial 16S ribosomal RNA
Rfam family: Bacterial small subunit ribosomal RNA
Source: RNAcentral
UACGGAGGGUGCAAGCGUUAUCCGGAUUCACUGGGGUUAAAGGGUGCGUAGGUGGGCAGGUAAGUCAGUGGUGAAAUCUCCGGGCUUAACCCGGAAACUGCCGUUGAUACUAUCUGUCUUGAAUGUAGUGGAGGUGAGCGGAAUAUGUCAUGUAGCGGUGAAAUGCUUAGAUAUGACAUAGAACAUCGAUUGCGAAGGCAGCUCGCUACACUAUGAUUGACACUGAGGCACGAAAGCGUGGGGAUCAAACAGG